UGGGGAAUUUUCCGCAAUGGGCGCAAGCCUGACGGAGCAACGCCGCGUGAGGGAGGAAUGUCUGUGGAUUGUAAACCUCUUUUCUCUGUGAAGAAGAUCUGACGGUAGCAGAGGAAUCAGCAUCGGCUAACUCCGUGCCAGCAGCCGCGGUAAGACGGAGGAUGCAAGCGUUAUCCGGAAUUAUUGGGCGUAAAGCGUCCGUAGGCGGUUAAUUAAGUCAGUUGUUAAAGACUGCAGCUCAACUGUGGGAGAGCAACUGAAACUGAUUGACUAGAGUAUGGUAGGGGUAGAGGGAAUUCCUAGUGUAGCGGUGAAAUGCGUAGAUAUUAGGAAGAACACCAGUGGCGAAGGCGCUCUACUGGGCCAUAACUGACGCUGAUGGACGAAAGCUAGGGGAGCG
This 400-nucleotide ribosomal RNA is filed under the name uncultured cyanobacterium. RNAcentral describes it as "bacterial SSU rRNA". It matches the Rfam family "Bacterial small subunit ribosomal RNA", at positions 355 to 770 of the family's 1533-position model. The record is from RNAcentral. Lineage: Bacteria; Bacillati; Cyanobacteriota.